This 457-nucleotide long non-coding RNA is filed under the name Crocodylus porosus (Australian saltwater crocodile). RNAcentral describes it as "lncRNA (ENSCPRG00005010109.1)". The record is from RNAcentral. Lineage: Eukaryota; Metazoa; Chordata; Crocodylia; Crocodylidae.
AUGAUGAGGACGGUCUUCAGUGUGGUUUUUCUCAGCUCGCUUUUUGUAAUCAAAAGUGAAGCACUGCAAUGUUAUACUUGUGUAGGGUCAAGUGAAGAAGAGUGUAACCGACAAGGAAUUCAGCGAUGUCCGGGACAAUCGGAUGCGUGUUCCCUCAUCAGAGGGCAAGGAAACGCUGUUAUGAAGUCCUGUUCAUUCAAAUCAUUCUGUGACCAGGCAAGGAGGGAAGGAUCCAAAGUGCCAGGGAUGAGUGUUCAUUGCUGUUAUUCAGACAACUGCAAUGCAAAAAGCCUGGGUUCAAGAAGCACCAUCUCUGCAAGCUACUUACCUCUCUUGGUCUCUGCAAUGCUGUGGCACCUGCUAUUUAACGUGAAGUGAAAUGAAAAAUUAGUACCCCAAAGCUACAAGACUGCCUUUUUAGAAUAAAAUGAUAAAGAAAUUCUAAAAAUGUUACUUG